CAGGUCUUGACAUCCUCUGACACUCCUAGAGAUAGGACGUUCCCCUUCGGGGGACAGAGUGACAGGUGGUGCAUGGUUGUCGUCAGCUCGUGUCGUGAGAUGUUGGGUUAAGUCCCGCAACGAGCGCAACCCUUGAUCUUAGUUGCCAGCAUUCAGUUGGGCACUCUAAGGUGACUGCCGGUGACAAACCGGAGGAAGGUGGGGAUGACGUCAAAUCAUCAUGCCCCUUAUGACCUGGGCUACACACGUGCUACAAUGGAUGGUACAAAGGGNUGCAAGACCGCGAGGUUUAGCCAAUCCCAUAAAACCAUUCUCAGUUCGGAUUGUAGGCUGCAACUCGCCUNCAUGAAGCCGGAAUCGCUAGUAAUCGUGGAUCAGCAUGCCACGGUGAAUACGUUCCC
This 401-nucleotide ribosomal RNA is filed under the name uncultured soil bacterium. RNAcentral describes it as "bacterial SSU rRNA". It matches the Rfam family "Bacterial small subunit ribosomal RNA", at positions 975 to 1375 of the family's 1533-position model. The record is from RNAcentral.